Molecule: long non-coding RNA, 2099 nt
Organism: Sarcophilus harrisii (Tasmanian devil)
Lineage: Eukaryota; Metazoa; Chordata; Mammalia; Dasyuromorphia; Dasyuridae
Source: Ensembl
GCUGUUUGAUCCUUCCUUUCAUCACUAUGUGGUGGAAAGCACUUUGGCUGGCCCUAAGCUCAGGCAGAAAGAAUAAAAAGGAAUCAUGUGGAAUUUCCAAAUGUCAGGACUGGGAAAAGAAAGGGGCAUGAAAUCACCACCAUGCUAUGGACUCCACAUUUAGUCACUGCCUUGAGGAUUCAAACAAAUAGGCGAGUUUCUGCCCUAGAGACCUCAUCUUUGAUUGGUGACUACCUCUCCUGGAUCAGAUUUUUGUUUCAGGAAAAGUUCAAACCAUACUUCAUUUAAUUUUCAAUUUUCUGGCCUUCUCUUCAUUAUAUGCUGCUUUAUCCUCAUUAGCCCUUUAGUUAUCACUCCCACCCUUAGUCUUUCAUUAAUAGCAAAUUAACACUGCCACUGUUCCUUGGAGGGAUUGUAACAACUUUCACCCACCAUUUCUCUUCAAAUUUCAGGACCAAGAAGUCUCUCUCUGGCUAUCACUACCAUUUAUGUGUUAUCUCUUUCACUAAAAUAUAUUUCUAGAGUUCAGGCAUUUCCUUUUUUGUAUUUAUAUCUCCAGUACUUACAUAUAGUAAGCAUGAUGCUUUUCAUCCUUUUAUGAUGGCUUUUCAUCCAUUUAUUUAUUCAGCUGGCAGGUUGGAGGCUCACUAUCAGAAAGCCAGCCCAGGUUGUAAUCCCAGCACCUGGCACAGAACCUAGAACAUAGUGUUUUUCCUUUUUGUAUUUAUAUCCCCAGCACUUAGCAUAAUGUUUGGCAUACAGUAAGCAUGUAAUAAAUGCUUUUCAUUCAUUCAUUCAUCCAAAUGGAAGGCUGGAGGAUCACUAUCAAAAAUCCCAGCUAGGGAUUCCUAGUACAGAACCUAGCACAUAGUAAAGUUUAAUAAAUAUUUAUCAGUUGAUUAAUGAUUGUUUUAUUAAGAUGAAUAUUGCCUUGCUUUGGAGAUGUUCCAAUUAGUCCUAGUCCAUGUUAAUAUGCUCAUCAAUGAGAUGGAUAAUGAAAAAAUAGUAUGCUACUAAAUUGAAAGUUUCAGGGCAUUCAUAAUGACCUAGAAAAAAUUGUAGAAGUAAUUGAACCAAAGAGAAUUUUUUUUUGGUUAAGGACAACUAAUGGUGAUUAUCCUUGUAAACAAAAUCAGAAUAGAUUUGUGCAAAUACGGGAUGGAUAGGCUAGUCCUCACCAUUGUGGGGCCAUAGCUGAAAAAAAUAAACCAAAUUUAAAAGAACAAGGUAGCCCUCUUAAUUUUUUUUUUUACUUUGGUCAUGCUCUUCCUUUUACAAGACACUAACAAGCUCAGAACAUCUUUGUCCUAAAUCAGUUUCUACAAAAGCUUAAAGGAUCAACUGGAUCUUCUUUUAUUUCUAAAUUAAUAAAAUUUUAUUGAAGACAAACUUUGUUCAGCAUUUAUAUCUGCUCAACUUCACUUGAAAUGGGAAUUGGCUUCUCUGGAUGAAUUCAAGACUUUCUCAGUAAUGUUAUUCACCAUCACUUCAGACCAGCUAUACUAAUUAAUGAUUCAUAAGACAGUGCUAAAAAGCAUUAAAGUAUUAUUUGUGCCCCUGCAACCAUAAGCUAGUAUAUGCUUACUUGAUAAACAAAAAGAACAUGCUAAUUUGCAGAAGGUAUCUAUUCCUAGAGAACACGGUAAAUGGAGAGAGAUCUGACCCCAAUUGGGAUGAGAGGCUGUAGGCUCAAUUUCUGCCUUUGUAUUUUUCUAAUUAUGUUUUCCUAAAUUUCAGAAAAUCUUUUUCCUUUUCUAUAAAAUGGGGGAGUUGGACUAGAUGAUUUCUGCUGUCCCCUCUAAAGCUAUGUAUAUGAUCUUGUAGCAAGAGUGUAACUGUAUCCCCCAGCUAGAGUAUGGCACAAAAUUAUCUCUAAAUAGUGAGAUUGGUUCAGGUACAUUAGUCAGAGGUAGCUAGUAAGUGUCUGCAGUUAGAUUUGAGCUUGAGUCUUCCUGACUGCAGUUCCAGUGCUCUAUCCAGGGUGCCACAUAUAUAUGGGAUAAAUUUGAGGUGAUCCACACAGAGAAGGCACUAGGUUUAAGGGAAACUGGGAAAGGUUUCUCAGAGAAGAUGGAUCUUAAUUGGGAUUUGGCAGAAGC